RNAcentral lists this transfer RNA (72 nucleotides) under Ovis aries (sheep). It matches the Rfam family "tRNA". From Rfam's summary of the family: Transfer RNA (tRNA) molecules are approximately 80 nucleotides in length. Their secondary structure includes four short double-helical elements and three loops (D, anti-codon, and T loops). Lineage: Eukaryota; Metazoa; Chordata; Mammalia; Artiodactyla; Bovidae. The record is from Rfam by way of RNAcentral.
UCCCUGGUGGUUCAGUGGCUAAGACUCCAAGCUCCCAAUGUUGGGACCCAGGUUCGAUCCCUGGUCAGGGAA